UUGAUAGCUCAGCCAGUAGAGCAUGAUACUCUUAAUGUCAGGGUCAUAGGGUUGAGCCCCAUGUUGGGCAAAA
Non-coding RNA from Podarcis lilfordi (Lilford's wall lizard), 73 nucleotides. NCBI's taxonomy places the organism in Eukaryota, Metazoa, Chordata, Lepidosauria, Squamata, Lacertidae. The record is from the annotation of a GenBank genome assembly.